Molecule: ribosomal RNA, 292 nt
Filed under: uncultured bacterium
Lineage: Bacteria
Description: partial 16S ribosomal RNA
Rfam family: Bacterial small subunit ribosomal RNA
Source: RNAcentral
GUGCCAGCCGCCGCGGUAAUACAGAGGUCCCAAGCGUUGUUCGGAAUUACUGGGCGUAAAGGGCGCGUAGGCGGCCUUCUAAGUCGGACGUGAAAUCCCUCGGCUUAACCGAGGAACUGCGUCCGAUACUGAUCGACUCGAAGGCAGGAGAGGGUAGUGGAAUUCCCGGUGUAGUGGUGAAAUGCGUAGAUAUCGGGAGGAACACCAGUGGCGAAGGCGGCAUCCUGGACCGGUAUUGACGCUGAGGCGCGAAGGCGUGGGGAGCGAACGGGAUUAGAAACCCCAGUAGUCC